UUAUUUACUAAUUAUAUUGAAAAUUUAAACUUAAAAAAUCUUAGAAAAUUAAUAAACUUGAAAUACUCAUUUAUUAUUUAUACUUAUUACUACAAUUAGACUUAAACCCAUAAUUAAAAGGCUUUUAUUAGCUCAUAACCUCUCACUACAUUUAAAAAUCUCUUUAUUUGGGGCCAUUUCCCAUGGAUUAACCCCAUUUUAAUUCUGCUUUCCCCAGAUGACGCAAGGGUACGGCCCCCUCCCCCCAUCCCUAAGGAAUCCUUUUCUCACGGGAUUCCCGGGAAUUUUAACGGGAUUUGAGUUUUCCCUCGGCAGCUAUGGCACCUACCCUGCCCCCACAGCCAGAGCUACUCAUGGGGGGGCCGGGGGGCAGGGCUACUCCCAGCAGAGCUACAGCAGCUACGGCCAGGGCUCAGCCAAGGGCUUGGGCUACAGCCAGGGCGGCUACAGCGGCUCUUACAGCCAGAACUAGAGCGUUUAUCCCCAGGUUACUCGGUGCCAGCGGCUCCUCCCUCCUACAGCUCUGGCGGCUUUGGCUCCGGGCAGAGCUCCUCAUACCCGGCCUACUCCCAGCCCCCCACUGCUGCCUCUGCCAGUUACGGCAGCGGCUUUGUCAGUUCCAGCUAUGGCCAAGCCCUGAGCAGGGGCCACAGCCAGCAGAGCUACGACCAGCAGUUGUCCUACGCCCCACCCCCUCCCCUGAGCUACAGCCAGCAGGGCCAGUACAGCUCUGGUGGCUGUGAGUCAUGUUCCUAAAAAAAUCCGGGGUUUUGGGGCAAAUUCUGUGGAUUUUGGGCAAAAUUGGGACUGAAAUUGGGGGAUUCGGGGUGGAAUUUGGGGGUUUGGGAUAGGAACAGUUGUCCUACAACACCCCCCCAAGAUACAGUGGUAGAAAUUCCCCCAAAAUUGCGGGAUUUUGGAAAAAAAAAUUACCAAAUUUGGGGCAGAAUCCCUGGGAUUCGGGGCAGAAUUUGUGGGAUUUAGGGGAGAAUUCUUGGAAUUUGGGGCAGAAUCCCUCAGAUUUUAGGCAGAA
Molecule: long non-coding RNA, 1033 nt
Filed under: Cyanistes caeruleus (blue tit)
Lineage: Eukaryota; Metazoa; Chordata; Aves; Passeriformes; Paridae
Description: lncRNA (ENSCCEG00000022869.1)
Source: RNAcentral